This 311-nucleotide unclassified non-coding RNA is filed under the name air metagenome. Its description in RNAcentral is "partial contains small subunit ribosomal RNA, internal transcribed spacer 1, and 5.8S ribosomal RNA". The stretch from base 1 to 46 matches the Rfam family "Eukaryotic small subunit ribosomal RNA", at positions 1786 to 1831 of the family's 1831-position model. The record is from RNAcentral.
AAGUCGUAACAAGGUUUCCGUAGGUGAACCUGCGGAAGGAUCAUUACUGAAGCAUUCGAAAUGGUUGUUGCUGCCUUGAAAAAGGAUUGUGCACGCCUUUCAAUCUUCCACUUACCCACCUGUGCACCUUUCAUAGACUGUAAAUUACAUCUCACUGAAAAUGUGGACCUGAGAGUUAGUGAAUAACUUACUUUCAACUUAUUUACAGUUUAUGUUUUCAUAUACACUAUUUGAAAUAUAAUGAAUGUAUUACUAUGGGUUUACCCAUAAUAAAUGAAAUACAACUUUCAGCAACGGAUCUCUUGGCUCUC